RNAcentral lists this ribosomal RNA (403 nucleotides) under uncultured bacterium. RNAcentral's name for it is "partial 16S ribosomal RNA". It matches the Rfam family "Bacterial small subunit ribosomal RNA", at positions 29 to 526 of the family's 1533-position model. The record is from RNAcentral.
AUUGAACGCUGGCGGCAGGCCUAACACAUGCAAGUCGAGCGAGCGGCGGACGGGUGAGUAAUGUAUGGGGACUGCCCGAUAGAGGGGGAUAACUACUGGAAACGGUGGCUAAUACCGCAUACUAUCGGAUAACCCAUAUGGGAUUAGCUAGUAGGUGGGGUAAAGGCUCACCUAGGCGACGAUCUCUAGCUGGUCGGAGAGGAUGAUCAGCACCACGGGGCCGCAGACAGGGCCCAGACUCCAAGGGAGGCAGCAGGGUGGAAUAUUGCACAAUGGGCGCAAGGCCGCUGCAGCCAUGCGGCGUGUAUGAAGAAGGCCUUAGGGUUGUAAAGUACUUUCAGCGGGGAGGCGUUACCCGCAGAAGAAGCACCGGCUAACUCCGUGCCAGCAGCCGCGGUAAUAC